GAUGAAGAACGCAGCGAAAUGCGAUAAGUAGUGUGAAUUGCAGAAUUCAGUGAAUCAUCGAAUCUUUGAACGCACAUUGCGCCCUUUGGUAUUCCUUAGGGCAUGCCUGUUCGAGCGUCAUUUAACACCUUCAAGCUCCGCUUGGUGUUGGGCGUCUGUCUGCUCACGCGGACUCGCCUCAAAAUCAUUGGCGGCCGGUACAUUGGCUUCGAGCGCAGCAGAAACGCGAACUCGAGGACGGUGGAUCAGCUCCCAGAAGCAAACCCCCCAAUUUUGACCUCGGAUCAGGUAGGGAUACCCGCUGAACUUAAGCAUAUAAAUAAGCGGAGGA
This 331-nucleotide unclassified non-coding RNA is filed under the name soil metagenome. RNAcentral describes it as "partial contains 5.8S ribosomal RNA, internal transcribed spacer 2, and large subunit ribosomal RNA". The stretch from base 1 to 120 matches the Rfam family "5.8S ribosomal RNA", at positions 35 to 154 of the family's 154-position model. The record is from RNAcentral.